This 30-nucleotide non-coding RNA is filed under the name Mus musculus (house mouse). The record is from RNAcentral. Lineage: Eukaryota; Metazoa; Chordata; Mammalia; Rodentia; Muridae.
UCCCCNGAGUGCGUGCCGGCCAGAGGGCUC